CACGUAGGGCGCAAGCGUUGUCCGGAAUUAUUGGGCGUAAAGAGCUCGUAGGCGGUCUGUUGCGUCCGCUGUGAAAACUCGAGGCUUAACCUCGAGACGUCGAUGGAAACCGCAUGGCUAGAGUCCGGAAGAGGAGAGUGGAAUUCCUGGUGUAGCGGUGAAAUGCGCAGAUAUCAGGAAGAACACCCGUGGCGAAGGCGGCUCUCUGGGACGGUACUGACGCUGAGACGCGAAAGCGUGGGGAGCGAACAGG
This 253-nucleotide ribosomal RNA is filed under the name uncultured bacterium. Its description in RNAcentral is "partial 16S ribosomal RNA". It matches the Rfam family "Bacterial small subunit ribosomal RNA", at positions 524 to 776 of the family's 1533-position model. The record is from RNAcentral.